GUGCACCAGUCGCGAAUUUUCUCAAUGGGCGAAAGCCUGAAGGAGCGACGCCGCGUGGGGGAUGAAUGGCUUCGGCCCGUAAACCCCUGUCAUUUGUGAACAAAUUGUUUCACCUAACACAUGAAGCAUUGAUAGUAACGGAAGAGGAAGGGACGGCUAACUCUGUGCCAGCAGCCGCGGUAAUACAGAGGUCCCAAGCGUUGUUCGGAUUCACUGGGCGUAAAGGGUGCGUAGGCGGUUGGGUAAGUCUGACGUGAAAUCUCCGGGCCUAACCCGGAAACUGCGUUGGAUACUAUCCGGCUAGAGGAAUGGAGGGGAGACUGGAAUACUUGGUGUAGCAGUGAAAUGCGUAGAUAUCAAGUGGAACACCAGUGGCGAAGGCGAGUCUCUGGACAUUUCCUGACGCUGAGGCACGAAAGCCAGGGGAGCAAACGGGAUUAGAUACCCGUGUAGU
This 454-nucleotide ribosomal RNA is filed under the name uncultured organism. RNAcentral describes it as "bacterial SSU rRNA". It matches the Rfam family "Bacterial small subunit ribosomal RNA", at positions 346 to 794 of the family's 1533-position model. The record is from RNAcentral.